This 467-nucleotide ribosomal RNA is filed under the name uncultured bacterium. Its description in RNAcentral is "partial 16S ribosomal RNA". It matches the Rfam family "Bacterial small subunit ribosomal RNA", at positions 28 to 506 of the family's 1533-position model. The record is from RNAcentral.
GACGAACGCUGGCGGCGUGCUUAACACAUGCAAGUCGAACGGAAAGGCCCUGCUUUUGUGGGGUGCUCGAGUGGCGAACGGGUGAGUAACACGUGAGUAACCUGCCCUUGACUUUGGGAUAACUUCAGGAAACUGGGGCUAAUACCGGAUAGGAGCUCCUGCUGCAUGGUGGGGGUUGGAAAGUUUCGGCGGUUGGGGAUGGACUCGCGGCUUAUCAGCUUGUUGGUGGGGUAGUUGCUUACCAAGGCUUUGACGGGUAGCCGGCCUGAGAGGGUGACCGGCCACAUUGGGAAUGAGAUACGGCCCAGACUCCUACGGGAGGCAGCAGUGGGGAAUAUUGCACAAUGGGCGGAAGCCUGAGGCAGCAACGCCGCGUGCGGGAUGACGGCCUUCGGGUUGUAAACCGCUUUCGCCUGUGACGAAGCGGGAGUGACGGUAAUGGGUAAAGAAGCACCGGCUAACUACGU